CAUUAAUGAAAUGAAUGUUGAGAAGGGUUGUAGCUGGCCUUUUGGGGCAUGUGCACACCCUGAUCACACAUCCACCUCUCACACUUGUGCACUAUGUGUAGCUUGGGAUGAUUACGAUGUUAGAAAUGAUGUCGAAAGCCCUAGCUAUGAAUUUUUAUAAACUCAUAUAUAAAACUACAGAAUGAAUGAUAGUUAUAGCAUGUAACAGUGCAUAUAUAUAUAUACAACUUUCAGCAACGGAUCUCUUGGCUCUCGCAUCGAUGAAGAACGCAGCGAAAUGCGAUAAGUAAUGUGAAUUGCAGAAUUCAGUGAAUCAUCGAAUCUUUGAACGCACCUUGCGCUCCUUGGUAUUCCGAGGAGCAUGCCUGUUUGAGUGUCAUGAAAUUCUCAACUGCCUUUUAGCAUUUAUUGUUAAAGGUGAAGUUGGAUUUGGAGGAUAACUGCUGGCGCAACUUAGGUUGCUUGUUAGCUCCUCUUAAAUGGAUGAGCUUUUCUGAUGGAUCAUAGCUCAGAGUAGUAUCAAUGUGAUAAUUAUCUACAUUAGAUGUGAAAGCUGUGAGUAGAGCAACUUUUUGCUCCUACAGAGAAGGAAAUGUUUUGGGGAUAAUAAACCCAUAUACAAUGACAAAUCUGACCUCAAAUCAGGUAGGACUACCCGCUGAACUUAAGCAUAUCA
This 676-nucleotide ribosomal RNA is filed under the name uncultured Thelephorales. RNAcentral's name for it is "eukaryotic LSU rRNA". The stretch from base 226 to 379 matches the Rfam family "5.8S ribosomal RNA". The record is from RNAcentral. Lineage: Eukaryota; Fungi; Basidiomycota; Agaricomycetes; Thelephorales.